UUAUUUGGCAGUAUAGAGUCAGUACAGGUUUUAUUUGGCAGUAUAGAGUCAGUACAGGUUUUAUUUGGCAGUAUAGAGUCAGUACAGGUUUUAUUUGGCAGUAUAGAGUCAGUACAGGUUUUAUUUGGCAGUAUAGAGUCAGUGCAGGUUUUAUU
This is a non-coding RNA of Oncorhynchus mykiss (rainbow trout), 155 nucleotides long. NCBI's taxonomy places the organism in Eukaryota, Metazoa, Chordata, Actinopteri, Salmoniformes, Salmonidae. The record is from RefSeq and is a predicted model, not a curated record.